RNAcentral lists this long non-coding RNA (1236 nucleotides) under Gallus gallus (chicken). Its description in RNAcentral is "lncRNA (ENSGALG00010003095.1)". Lineage: Eukaryota; Metazoa; Chordata; Aves; Galliformes; Phasianidae. The record is from RNAcentral.
GAACAAGUAAUAUUGGCAAUAUGUUCUUUGUUUUACCUGCAGUGUCCAUGGGUAAAAAUGAUUCUAACAAGUCUUCAUCAGUAAUUAAGAUCACCAAAGAAAAUACUACACUCACCCUUCUGUAAAAUGCAGGAAUGUCAAAGUCAGUAUCACUGUCAUACAGAAUUAAAUGCUCUUUGGAGUAUCACAAAACUAUGACAAAAACAAAUAUACAUAUUAUACACUAGGAAUCUAGGAGCAUAAAUGGAUUGUUAAUGUAAGCAGUUUUUCUUCAAAGGAAGAGAAUUUAAAAUGUAUCAGUAAAGCAUUUAUUUAUGAAAGACUUGAGAUGCAGGAGGUAUUUGAAAGCCUUGCCAUGUCAUGUGGUUAAGAGAAAAAGUCAUGAUUACUACUUAUACAGUAAGCAUUUAAAAUUAUUUUGAAAAUGUUUACCACACUAGUUUAAAUUCAAACUGUGAUAUAUGGCCAUGGUGGCAAGCAUUUCUCAGCAAGCAUCAAAUUUUCGAAGAACUGUAUAUAGUGAAGCAGUGUUCAUACGAAUGUGGGCAGUUUAUGACUAUGGCACAAGGGAGACAAGCUGACUUGGUGAAUUUUGUUUUCAUUAUGAGACUGUUGGUUUAAUAAUUAUAGGGGAGAAGAUAAUUAAAUCAAUCCUGUUGGAUUUGUUUUUAAUAUCAAAUUAAACAUGUUAGUAUUUUUUUUCUUGGACUAUUCCUUUACCUUUUUCUUUCUUUUCUCCUCUCCUCUCUCUCUCUCUGCCUCUCUUUUUUCUUUUUCUUUUUCUUUUUUUUUUAAGAGAGAAGAGAGAAAUUUAUUUCCCUUUUUGAGAUCAGUAUGAGUAUAUUUCAAUGAAAGCAUUUUUCCCCCCUACUUCUUCCACUAAUAAAAAAUACAACAACAAUUUUUCUGGUACGUAACUUACUGUUGCCUUUCCUCUGUUUUUUUUUUUUUUUUUUUUUGGAUGGUUGGCUUUUUUGUUUUGUUUUGUUUGCUUGUUUGUUUGUUUGUUCGUUGAGGUGCUGUUAUGGUGUAUGUCUGGUGCCUACAAUCAGGAGUAUAAAUCAGUAUAUCAGCUUAUAAGUAGAAGGAGAUCAUUUUUCAGAUACUAAAGCAUUCCCAGCUAUCGGUAACUUGACUCUGAGAGCUAGAUAGCAUAGAUUUUGCUAUCAGAUAACAUAUUUUGUUGUAAUGCAAUGUUGCUUAAAAAGAUAUUUUCUAUCCAGUUUAGGUUUUUAU